AUUGAACGCUGGCGGAAUGCUUUACACAUGCAAGUCGAGCGGCAGCGCGGGGCAACCUGGCGGCGAGCGGCGAACGGGUGAGUAAUACAUCGGAACGUACCCAGUCGUGGGGGAUAACACAGCGAAAGUUGUGCUAAUACCGCAUACGACCUGAGGGUGUAAGUGGGGGACCGCAAGGCCUCACGCGAUUGGAGCGGCCGAUGGCGGAUUAGCUAGUUGGUGGGGUAAAGGCUCACCAAGGCGACGAUCCGUAGCGGGUCUGAGAGGACGGCCCGCCACACUGGGACUGGGAAACGGUCCAGACUCCUUCGGGAGGCAGCAGUGGGGAAUUUUGGACAAUGGGGGAAACCCUGAUCCAGCCAUUCCGCGUGAGUGAAGAAGGCCUUCGGGUUGUAAAGCUCUUUCGGCAGGAACGAAACGGUCGUCGCUAACAUCGAUGGCUAAUGACGGUACCUGAAGAAGAAGCACCGGCUAACUACGUGCCAGCCGCCGCCGUAA
This 498-nucleotide ribosomal RNA is filed under the name uncultured bacterium. Its description in RNAcentral is "partial 16S ribosomal RNA". It matches the Rfam family "Bacterial small subunit ribosomal RNA", at positions 29 to 523 of the family's 1533-position model. The record is from RNAcentral.